GAUGAAGAACGUAGCGAAAUGCGAUACGUAGUGUGAAUUGCAGAAUCCAGUGAAUCAUCGAAUCUUUGAACGCACAUUGCGCCCGCCGGCAUCCCGGCGGGCAUGCCUGUUCGAGCGUCAUUUCAACCCUCGAACCCCUCCGGGGGGUCGGCGUUGGGGAUCGGCCCUGCCUCUUGGCGGUGGCCGUCUCCGAAAUACAGUGGCGGUCUCGCCGCAGCCUCUCCUGCGCAGUAGUUUGCACACUCGCAUCGGGAGCGCGGCGCGUCCACAGCCGUUAAACACCCAACAUCUGAAAUGUUGACCUCGGAUCAGGUAGGAAUACCCGCUGAACUUAAGCAUAUCAAUAAGCGGAGGA
RNAcentral lists this unclassified non-coding RNA (355 nucleotides) under soil metagenome. RNAcentral describes it as "partial contains 5.8S ribosomal RNA, internal transcribed spacer 2, and large subunit ribosomal RNA". The stretch from base 1 to 120 matches the Rfam family "5.8S ribosomal RNA", at positions 35 to 154 of the family's 154-position model. The record is from RNAcentral.